RNAcentral lists this ribosomal RNA (450 nucleotides) under uncultured bacterium. Its description in RNAcentral is "partial 16S ribosomal RNA". It matches the Rfam family "Bacterial small subunit ribosomal RNA", at positions 328 to 792 of the family's 1533-position model. The record is from RNAcentral.
ACGCCAGACUCCUACGGGAGGCAGCAGUGGGGAAUAUUGGGCAAUGGAGGCAACUCUUACCCAGCAAUGCCGCGUGAAUGAAGAAGGUCUUCGGAUUGUAAAGUUCUUUAAUUGGGGACGAAAAAAAUGACGGUACCCAAGGAAUAAGCCCCGGCUAACUACGUGCCAGCAGCCGCGGUAAUACGUAGGGGGCAAGCGUUGUUCGGAAUUACUGGGUGUAAAGGGAGCGCAGGCGGGAAGCCAAGUCAGCUGUGAAAACUACGGGCUUAACUUGUAGACUGCAGUUGAAACUGGUUUUCUUGAGUGAAGUAGAGGUUGGCGGAAUUCCGAGUGUAGCGGUGAAAUGCGUAGAUAUUCGGAGGAACACCGGUGGCGAAGGCGGCCAACUGGGCUUUAACUGACGCUGAGGCUCGAAAGUGUGGGGAGCAAACAGGAUUAGAUACCCUCGUA